RNAcentral lists this ribosomal RNA (497 nucleotides) under uncultured bacterium. RNAcentral's name for it is "partial 16S ribosomal RNA". It matches the Rfam family "Bacterial small subunit ribosomal RNA", at positions 28 to 507 of the family's 1533-position model. The record is from RNAcentral.
GACGAACGCUGGCGGCGUGCCUAAUACAUGCAAGUUGAGCGAUGACGCUUGGUGCUUGCACCCAUUUGAAGAGCAGCGAACGGGUGAGUAACGCGUGGGGAAUCUGCCUUUGAGCGGGGGACAACAUUUGGAAACGAAUGCUAAUACCGCAUAACAACUUUAAACAUAAGUUUUAAGUUUGAAAGAUGCAAUUGCAUCACUCAAAGAUGAUCCCGCGUUGUAUUAGCUAGUUGGUGAGGUAAAGGCUCACCAAGGCGAUGAUACAUAGCCGACCUGAGUGGGUGAUCGGCCACAUUGGGACUGAGACACGGCCCAAACUCCUACGGGAGGCAGCAGGAGGGAAUCAUCGGAAAUGGACGAAAGUCUGACCGAGCAACGCCGCGGGAGGGAAGAAGGGUGUCGGAUCGGAAAACUCUGUUGGUAGAGAAGGACGUUGGUGAGGGUGGAAAGCUCAUCAAGUGACGGUAACUACCCAGAAAGGGACGGCUAACUACGUG